Molecule: long non-coding RNA, 247 nt
Filed under: Elaeis guineensis (African oil palm)
Lineage: Eukaryota; Viridiplantae; Streptophyta; Magnoliopsida; Arecales; Arecaceae
Description: long non-coding RNA (EGUI_LNC015514)
Source: RNAcentral
GGCCAUGCCAAGCGUGCCGUGCCUUACACGACCCAUUUUAAGGGGGCCAUGUACGGCCCAUUUCAAAGGGGUCGGUCUGGCAUGCGGGUAGUACGUGCCAUGCCUGGCCCAUGGGUCGCGCUGGCCCAGGCCUUUAUGGGUCAUGCCGGGCCUGGGCCGCGGGCCAAAAAAUCCCAGCCCAGCCUGGCCCCCCUCUUAUGGGCCGUGCCAGGCACGGCAUCGCACUUUAGUCAAUGGGCCAUCCCUG